This 253-nucleotide ribosomal RNA is filed under the name uncultured bacterium. Its description in RNAcentral is "partial 16S ribosomal RNA". It matches the Rfam family "Bacterial small subunit ribosomal RNA", at positions 524 to 776 of the family's 1533-position model. The record is from RNAcentral.
GACGAAGGAUGCAAGCGUUAUCCGGAUUCAUUGGGUUUAAAGGGCGCGUAGGUGGCCUGGUAAGUCAGUGGUGAAAUCUCUCGGCUUAACCGAGAAAUUGCCAUUGAUACUGUUAGGCUUGAGUAUAGUAGCCGUUGGCGGAAUAUGACAUGUAGUGGUGAAAUACAUAGAGAUGUCAUAGAACACCGAUUGCGAAGGCAGCUAACGAAACUAUAACUGACACUGAGGCUCGAAAGUGCGGGGAUCAAACAGG